Condylura cristata (star-nosed mole) is the source of this 2818-nucleotide RNA transcript. It is a transcript of the gene named zinc finger, RAN-binding domain containing 2, with no coding region annotated. The record is from RefSeq and is a predicted model, not a curated record. NCBI's taxonomy places the organism in Eukaryota, Metazoa, Chordata, Mammalia, Eulipotyphla, Talpidae. The transcript is spliced from 11 exons.
GCCCGCUUCCUCCAGUGAAGACGUAGUUGCGGGUGGCUGUGGUGGCGGCGUCCAAGAUGUCGACCAAGAAUUUCCGAGUCAGUGACGGUGACUGGAUUUGCCCUGACAAAAAAUGUGGAAAUGUAAACUUCGCCAGAAGAACCAGCUGUAAUAGAUGUGGUCGGGAGAAAACAACUGAGGCUAAAAUGAUGAAAGCUGGGGGCACUGAAAUAGGAAAGACACUUGCAGAAAAGAGUCGAGGCCUAUUUAGUGCUAAUGACUGGCAGUGUAAAACUUGCAGUAAUGUGAAUUGGGCCAGAAGAUCAGAAUGUAACAUGUGUAAUACUCCUAAAUAUGCUAAGUUAGAAGAAAGAACAGGGUAUGGUGGUGGUUUUAAUGAAAGAGAAAAUGUUGAAUAUAUAGAAAGAGAAGAAUCUGAUGGUGAAUAUGACGAGUUUGGACGUAAAAAGAAAAAAUACAGAGGGAAGGCAGUUGGUCCUGCAUCUAUUUUAAAGGAAGUUGAAGACAAAGAAUCUGAGGGAGAAGAAGAGGAUGAGGAUGAAGAUCUUUCCAAAUAUAAGUUAGAUGAGGAUGAGGAUGAAGAUGAUGCUGAUCUAUCAAAAUAUAAUCUUGAUGCCAGUGAAGAAGAAGAUAGUAAUAAAAAGAAAUCUAAUAGACGAAGUCGUUCAAAAUCUCGAUCUUCACAUUCACGAUCUUCAUCAAGCUUAUCCUCCCCCUCAAGUUCAAGGUCUAGGUCCAGGUCCCGUUCAAGAAGUUCUUCCAGUUCGCAGUCAAGAUCUCGUUCCAGUUCCAGAGAACAUUCGAGAUCUCGUGGGUCGAAAUCAAGAUCCAGCUCCAGGUCCCACAGGGGCUCUUCUUCCCCAAGAAAAAGAUCUUACUCAAGCUCAUCAUCAUCUCCUGAGAGGAACAGAAAGAGAAGUCGUUCUAGAUCUUCUUCAUCUGGUGAUCGAAAAAAAAGACGAACAAGAUCACGGUCACCCGAAAGGUGAUUGGUGAAAACACUAAACAACCCUGAGCCCAGGGCCAACCCCUCGGAACACCACUACUUUACCCAGGCACCACAGGUCAUCUUCUGGAUCAUCCCAUUCUGGUUCCCGUUCAAGUUUGAAAAAGAAAUAAUGUAUUAAAAUAUACAUCUUUAAAAAAAAAAAAAAAAGUACAGUGCAUGAAGCAUAUUUUUUAAGAAGUUGGUGUCUUAACUUGGUCAGAAGUGCUAAAUCUACUAGUAGAGGUGCAUGCCUUUCAUUGCUUUUCAGAACAAUACAGCUGUGUUUAUUUGUGAAAUUAAAAGUAAAUAGUAUUUUAAGCCAUAAUGUUCCAGAAUAGCGGCUCUAUUUAUCAUUCAUCUUUAUAACCAUUUGUUUCAUUUAAUACCAUCUCAGCUAUAUAGCAAAGUAAUUUGUUUACUAAUUUGAACUCUUGUUUUUCUCAUUUCCAAAUAUGAAUUGUUUACUUAAGACAGGUUGUUGUUGAAAACAGUUUAUGUUAAUUUGGGGAAAGGUGUCAACUUCUUUAUGUAAACCUAUGUUUAAAGUUAUUCUUAGCAGAAAAUUAGUUAAAACUAGUUAAACAGUUGGUCACCUAGAAAAUUAUCUAUAUGCUGAGGGUGCCUUAGAAUCAUUUUUUCUCUUAUCCAGUUUUACUUUUUGUACCAUCACAUCUAAUGCAGAAAAAUCUUAUAAUUGCAGAAGAAAAAAUGUUAUUUAUUUCACCCUUUCUAAUCCAUGAUUUUGAGCAAGACAUUGUUAGUUCAUCUUUUCUCUACUGUUAAGUUAUCUGAUGAGAAAAACAUCAUAUUUUCAGAUUGUUUGUCCUAAUGUGUUAAGACAUGUAUGAGAUCCCCUUUAAAUCUAGUUACCACAUUAUCACAUAGAAUAAGGUAAACAAAACUGUGUCAUAUUUAUUGGGGAACAAAUUGGUGAAAGCUUCUGAAGUAUUCCUCUCUUUGUAUUAAAGAGAGUAGAGGCAUUGCGAAUUUAAGUGAACGUUUAUCUUGCAGUGUUUAACUUUAAACACUGCUUCUCUUCUAAGCAGAACCUAAGUUCUGACAAAAGCAGAAACAAUUUUUAUUCUUGUUCACUUUAAAUUACUUAUGGCUUAAAAUACUUGAAGAGUUUGUUUUUUUCUUAAAAUCUGGUCACUCCAGCUCCAUUUUGUGUCUGGUUUAAAACAGAUUUCUCUUAACAGAGUCUACAGUGACAAGCAAGGUAAGUAUAUUAAGGGAAAGAAACAUUUGUGCUUGCUUGGGGGCUUUUUGUCAUGGGGAUCAGUGCCCACUUUUCCUUGUUUUUCUUUUUUUGGUUGAUGUUUUUUGUUUUUCCCUUAACAUUAGUUAAUGUCUACUUCAAUUAAAAAGUAAAGCAUUUUAAAAUACAUAGUAGACAGAACAGUUUUUGUUUCUUCAAAAUGAGUGAUUUUUCUCAACUAAAGAUGAAAGCAAAGUAUGUAGAAAUAUUUUGAUAUUUUUACAUGAAUUUCCCCUUGUUUUUUUAUGUCUUAAUUUUCUUUGCUACGUUUACCAUAGGUUGCACAAGAACUUUUACUCUCUUGUAAUUGUGCCUCAGACUUCUUGAAAGUCCACCUUCUAAAUUGCCCAGAUGAUCUUCUAGAUUCUACAUGUUACCGUUGGUUUAUUCUUGUGCUUUCUGUAUUUAAAACUUUGGCUGUACUAAAUAAAUGCAAGGUUAUAAAUUUAGCUAAUAGUAGAUUACAGACAACUCAAAUGAUUAUGAUUUCAUUUGGUUUGACUAAGCUGUAAUAGUUCAUUUCAUAAGGAAAUGAUGCUGUAGACAAAUGUAAAUAAAACCUGUGAGUCAAG